Molecule: ribosomal RNA, 487 nt
Filed under: uncultured bacterium
Lineage: Bacteria
Description: bacterial SSU rRNA
Rfam family: Bacterial small subunit ribosomal RNA
Source: RNAcentral
CUACGUGCCAGCAGCCGCGGUAAUACGUAGGGUGCGAGCGUUAAUCGGAAUUACUGGGCGUAAAGCGGGCGCAGACGGUUACUUAAGCAGGAUGUGAAAUCCCCGGGCUUAACCUGGGAACUGCGUUCUGAACUGGGUAGCUAGAGUAUGUCAGAGGGGGGUAGAAUUCCACGUGUAGCAGUGAAAUGCGUAGAGAUGUGGAGGAAUACCGAUGGCGAAGGCAGCCCCCUGGGAUAAUACUGACGUUCAUGCCCGAAAGCGUGGGUAGCAAACAGGAUUAGAUACCCUGGUAGUCCACGCCCUAAACGAUGUCGAUUAGCUGUUGGGCAACUUGAUUGCUUAGUAGCGAAGCUAACGCGUGAAAUCGACCGCCUGGGGAGUACGGUCGCAAGAUUAAAACUCAAAGGAAUUGACGGGGACCCGCACAAGCGGUGGAUGAUGUGGAUUAAUUCGAUGCAACGCGAAGAACCUUACCUGGUCUUGACAU